CUGCUCGCUUCGGCAGCAAUGUAUUGGAACGAUACAGAGAAGAUUAGCAUGGCCCCUGCGCAAGGAUGACACGGAAAUUCGUGAAGCGUUAUAAAAAAAA
RNAcentral lists this small nuclear RNA (100 nucleotides) under Microcebus murinus (gray mouse lemur). The record is from RNAcentral. Lineage: Eukaryota; Metazoa; Chordata; Mammalia; Primates; Cheirogaleidae.